UCAUUAGUUUUUUAAUUAAAAGCUGGUAUGAAUGGUUUGAUGAAAAAAUGACUGUCUCUUUUUAAUAUUAUAGAAUUUUAUUUUUAAGUUAAAAAGCUUAAAUUUAUUUAAAAGACGAGAAGACCCUAUAGAGUUUUAUAANUUAGUUAAUAAUUAAAAUAUGGGAAAAUUAAUUUUUUAUUAGUUGAUUUAUUUAAUUGGGGUGAUUAAAAAAUUAAAUUAACUUUUUUUAUUAUAAGCCAUUAAUUAGUGAAUUCUUGAUCCAUUAAUAGUGAUUAUAAGAAUAAAUUACCUUAGGGAUAACAGCGUUAUUUUUUUUGAGAGUUCUUAUCGAAAGAAAAGAUUGCGACCUCGAUGUUGGAUUAAAAUUAAUUUUUGGUGUAGCAGCUAAAAAUUUUAGGUCUGUUCGACCUUUGAAAUUUUACAUGAUCUGA
This 434-nucleotide ribosomal RNA is filed under the name Spermophagus coronatus. RNAcentral's name for it is "partial 16S ribosomal RNA". The stretch from base 299 to 434 matches the Rfam family "Bacterial large subunit ribosomal RNA", at positions 2473 to 2608 of the family's 2925-position model. Lineage: Eukaryota; Metazoa; Arthropoda; Insecta; Coleoptera; Chrysomelidae. The record is from RNAcentral.